Hydra vulgaris (swiftwater hydra) is the source of this 716-nucleotide long non-coding RNA. RefSeq lists it as uncharacterized. The record is from RefSeq and is a predicted model, not a curated record. NCBI's taxonomy places the organism in Eukaryota, Metazoa, Cnidaria, Hydrozoa, Anthoathecata, Hydridae.
AGUGCAAUUUGUAUCUUAAACAUAAACGAAAAUUGUUUUGUGUCAGUGCCAGAAAUUAAAUGCACACCUGGAAAUUUCAUAAUUCAUAAAAAUAUUAUGAAUCCAUUAAUAAAGUUGUAUCUUUGAAAGAUAUGCUGGUUUUAUUAGCAUAAUGGGCAAGCAUUGAAGUGCAACUUGGUGAACUACAAAACACAUCAAAUUCAGUUAUAAAAAUUUGAGUAACAAAGGUAUGCUAAUUAUUGUAUUGCCUGAACGAGAGUCAUUGCCGUUAAAAGAAGUGAAGAAUUCAAGUACUCUGGAAAAAAAAGACAAGUAAAUGGUUGUGUAUUUUUGCAGUUCAAUUAUUUGGCACAAAUUGAAGUUAAAGAUGAAGGAGAUUGUAUAUGUUAUUUACUAAGAAUAGUUUAUUAAAAUGGUGUAGCUGUAAAAUUAAAUUAUGCAGGGAGAGGAUAAAAAAUUGUAAUAGGAAAAAUGUUGAUUGCAUAUGCUGCUAUUGGUAUGUGAUUUAGAAAAGUAUAUUUUUUCAGUUUCAAUUUUGCAUUACAGAAUUACUUUUAAUUUGUUAUAUUUCUUUGGUCCAUAAUUAAACAAACAACUAUUUUUUUUGCAGAAACUGUUUAGUCAAAUAAGCAUAAAAGCUUUUGCAAGACAUGUGAUAGAGAUAAGCUUUUGCUAUUUAGGCAAAUUUUUUUUCUUCGGCGUAAUAUUGUAAUUCU